CAAUAGCGUAUAUUAAAGUUGUUGCAGUUAAAAGACUCGUAGUUGGAGUUCAGAGUGAGCUCAGCCGGUCCGCCUCAUGGGUGAGUACUGGUCGACUCUCUCUUGUUUGUGAAUCCCGCCCGGAGUUAAUUCUUCGGGAUGUGGAGUUCACAUCGUUUACCUUGAAAAAUUAGAAGUGUUCAAAGCAGGCGUUUGCUUGAAUAUAUUAGCAUGGAAUAAUGGAAUAGGACCCUGGUUCUAUUUUGUUUGGUUUUGAGUAACCAGAGUAAUGAUUAAUAAGGGAUAGUUGGGGGCGAUUCAGUAUUUCAUUGUCAGAGGUGAAAUUACUUGGAUUUAUGUAAAGAAUGAACUUCUGCGAAAGCA
This 363-nucleotide ribosomal RNA is filed under the name uncultured eukaryote. RNAcentral describes it as "bacterial SSU rRNA". It matches the Rfam family "Eukaryotic small subunit ribosomal RNA", at positions 592 to 953 of the family's 1831-position model. The record is from RNAcentral.